GGCAUAAGGAAUAAUCUUAUUAACCAUUAUCAAAGAAAGAAAGCAUAGACAUAACUGAGGCAAUAGAAGAAAGCACAAACAGACCAUUUUUUUUUUUCAUUAAUGUAGUAUUUGGUAAGACAUGAAAAUGCAAAAAAGCAACCUUUUUUUCUUUCUAUUAAUUUGAAAGCAGAAAGUAAAAAGGCAUUGUUCGUUUACAUAUUAAAAAAUGAUUUUUAAAAGCAAAGAAGAAAAUAAUAACACCUUGCUUUUUAGAG
This 257-nucleotide unclassified non-coding RNA is filed under the name Hevea brasiliensis (rubber tree). Lineage: Eukaryota; Viridiplantae; Streptophyta; Magnoliopsida; Malpighiales; Euphorbiaceae. The record is from RNAcentral.